This 490-nucleotide ribosomal RNA is filed under the name uncultured bacterium. RNAcentral's name for it is "partial 16S ribosomal RNA". It matches the Rfam family "Bacterial small subunit ribosomal RNA", at positions 28 to 506 of the family's 1533-position model. The record is from RNAcentral.
GAUGAACGCUGGCUACAGGCUUAACACAUGCAAGUCGAGGGGAAACGACGGGGAAGCUUGCUUCCCCGGGCGUCGACCGGCGCACGGGUGAGUAACGCGUAUCCAACCUGCCUCUGACUGAGGGAUAACCCGUCGAAAGUCGGCCUAAUACCUCAUGGCAUCGUCUGCGGGCAUCCAACGACGAUUAAAGAUUUCAUCGGUCAGGGAUGGGGAUGCGUCUGAUUAGCUUGUUGGCGGGGUAACGGCCCACCAAGGCUACGAUCAGUAGGGGUUCUGAGAGGAAGGCCCACCACAUUGGAACUGGGACACGGCCAAAACUCCUACGGGAGGCAGGAGGGAGGAAUAUUGGUCAAGGGGGGGGACCCUGAACCAGCCAGGUAGCGUGCAGGAGGACGGCCCUUUGGGUUUAAAACUGUUUUUAUGGGGGGAAAAAGGGGGGGACGUUCCCUUCAUGGCGGGAACCCAAUAAAAAAGGACCGGCUAAUUCCGU